Molecule: ribosomal RNA, 497 nt
Filed under: uncultured bacterium
Lineage: Bacteria
Description: partial 16S ribosomal RNA
Rfam family: Bacterial small subunit ribosomal RNA
Source: RNAcentral
GAUGAACGCUGGCGGCGUGCCUAAUACAUGCGAGUCGAGCGAACGGACGAGAAGCUUGCUUCUCUGAUGUUAGCGGCGGACGGGUGAGUAACACGUGGAUAACCUACCUAUAAGACUGGGAUAACUUCGGGAAACCGGAGCUAAUACCGGAUAAUAUUUUGAACCGCAUGGUUCAAAAGUGAAAGACGGUCUUGCUGUCACUUAUAGAUGGAUCCGCGCUGCAUUAGCUAGUUGGUAAGGUAACGGCUUACCAAGGCAACGAUGCAUAGCCGACCUGCGAGGAUGAUCGGCCACACUGGAACUGAGACACGGUCCAGACUCCUACGGGAGGCAGCAGUAGGGAAUCUUCCGCAAUGGGCGAAAGCCUGACGGAGCAACGCCGCGUGAGUGAUGAAGGUCUUCGGAUCGUAAAACUCUGUUAUUAGGGAAGAACAUAUGUGUAAGUAACUGUGCACAUCUUGACGGUACCUAAUCAGAAAGCCACGGCUAACUACGUG